Molecule: ribosomal RNA, 619 nt
Filed under: Stereum hirsutum
Lineage: Eukaryota; Fungi; Basidiomycota; Agaricomycetes; Russulales; Stereaceae
Description: partial large subunit ribosomal RNA
Rfam family: Eukaryotic large subunit ribosomal RNA
Source: RNAcentral
UAACAAGGAUUCCCCUAGUAACUGCGAGUGAAGCGGGAAAAGCUCAAAUUUAAAAUCUGGCGGUCUUCUGGCCGUCCGAGUUGUAGUCUGGAGAAGCGUUUUCCGCGUUGGACCGUGUACAAGUUUCCUGGAACGGAGCGUCAUAGAGGGUGAGAAUCCCGUCUUUGACACGGAUCCCAAUGCUUUGUGAUGCGCUCUCAAAGAGUCGAGUUGUUUGGGAAUGCAGCUCAAAAUGGGUGGUGAAUUCCAUCUAAAGCUAAAUAUUGGCGAGAGACCGAUAGCGAACAAGUACCGUGAGGGAAAGAUGAAAAGCACUUUGGAAAGAGAGUUAAACAGUACGUGAAAUUGUUGAAAGGGAAACGCUUGAAGUCAGUCGCGUCGGCCGGGACUCAGCCUUGCAUCCGCUUGGUGUACUUUCCGGUCGACGGGCCAGCAUCAGUUUUGACCGCGAGAUAAAGGCGGAGGGAAUGUGGCUCUCUCGGGAGUGUUAUAGCCCUUCGUCAGAUGUCGCGGUUGGGACUGAGGAACUCAGCACGCCUUUAUGGCCGGGGCUCGCCCACGUACGUGCUUAGGAUGCUGGCGUAAUGGCUUUAAACGACCCGUCUUGAAACACGGACCA